CAGUAGCCGCGGUAAUACGAAGGGGGCUAGCGUUGCUCGGAAUUACUGGGCGUAAAGGGAGCGUAGGCGGAUCGUUAAGUUGGGGGUGAAAGCCCGGGGCUCAACCUCGGAACUGCCUUCAAUACUGGCGAUCUUGAGUAUGAGAGAGGUGUGUAGAACUCCGAGUGUAGAGGCGAAAUUCGUAGAUAUUCGGAAGAACACCAGUGGCGAAGGCGACACACUGGCUCAUUACUGACGCUGAGGCUCGAAAGCGUGGGGAGCAAACAGGAUUAGAUACCCCGGUAGUCCCUGUCUCUUAUAC
RNAcentral lists this ribosomal RNA (301 nucleotides) under uncultured bacterium. RNAcentral's name for it is "partial 16S ribosomal RNA". It matches the Rfam family "Bacterial small subunit ribosomal RNA", at positions 509 to 807 of the family's 1533-position model. The record is from RNAcentral.